RNAcentral lists this long non-coding RNA (687 nucleotides) under Rattus norvegicus (Norway rat). Its description in RNAcentral is "long non-coding RNA NONRATT009874". The record is from RNAcentral. Lineage: Eukaryota; Metazoa; Chordata; Mammalia; Rodentia; Muridae.
AGUAGAAUGUCUUGGUGGCCAGGAGUCUCCAUUGUCUCCAUUGUGAAUGCUAAGGAACCCCUGAAUUAGAAUCAGUUUCCUAAGGUUAAUCCCAAUCCCCGUUUCCCCUCCCCCAUACUCAAAUAUCCCCAAUUACCCCAAGAGUUUGGGGUGCACAGCUUUUCAGUGCCGCUUUGAUAUUUUGUAGCUGGGUGAUGCUUUUGCUAAAAGUAUCAUGGCCUACAGAGACGCUUCAGAGAGUGGCAUGGGCAUCUGGAGUCUGUACUAUCCUCUCAGAUCACAUUUGUGAAGCCUUGCUGACAUUUCUCUCAGAUGUGAUGACCCCCAAUUUGCCAAACUGUCAGAAGUCAGUGAAGCGAAGAAUUGAAGGUACAGCGUUCAUUCAGAGAUUGUUGGCCCCGAGUCCCACAUCCUGCCUCCGAGAUGGAACUUUGGAAAGCAUAUAUAUUGAAGAUUCGUUUGACUCUUUUAUACGUGCAAUUUUUAAAUUUCAUUCCUAGACUUGGUUUUAUGGGAAAAGGAAAUUUUCAUCUCUAUUUCAUUGUGUUUUGUCUGUCUGAUUUAACUGACAGAUUAAAAGAGUCCCAGCCUCUCCGGAUUUACUUUGCCAUAAUGUGACAGGUAAGUAAGAGCAACCCACCUCUUAAUUGGGAUUCCCCCCCCCCCCAAAUAAAUGAAUGGCUUUUG